RNAcentral lists this ribosomal RNA (496 nucleotides) under uncultured bacterium. RNAcentral describes it as "partial 16S ribosomal RNA". It matches the Rfam family "Bacterial small subunit ribosomal RNA", at positions 28 to 506 of the family's 1533-position model. The record is from RNAcentral.
GAUGAACGCUGGCGGCGUGCCUAAUACAUGCAAGUCGAGCGAACAGACGAGGAGCUUGCUCCUCUGACGUUAGCGGCGGACGGGUGAGUAACACGUGGAUAACCUACCUAUAAGACUGGGAUAACUUCGGGAAACCGGAGCUAAUACCGGAUAAUAUAUUGAACCGCAUGGUUCAAUAGUGAAAGACGGUUUUGCUGUCACUUAUAGAUGGAUCCGCGCCGCAUUAGCUAGUUGGUAAGGUAACGGCUUACCAAGGCAACGAUGCGUAGCCGACCUGAGAGGUGAGUCGCCCACACGGAAACUGAAAACGGGCCCAACCCCCAAGGGAAGGAGGCGGAGGGGAAGUUUCGGCAAUGGGCGAAAGCUUAACGGAGCAAGGCGGGGGGGUGGAUGAGGGUCUCCGGAUCGUAAACCUUUGUUAUUAGGAAAAAAAAAAUGUGAAGGAAACUAUGAACGUUUUGAGGGUACCAAACCAGAAGGCCACGGCUAACUCCGU